RNAcentral lists this ribosomal RNA (237 nucleotides) under Anoxybacillus andreesenii. RNAcentral's name for it is "Robertmurraya andreesenii partial 16S ribosomal RNA". It matches the Rfam family "Bacterial small subunit ribosomal RNA", at positions 1346 to 1533 of the family's 1533-position model. Lineage: Bacteria; Bacillati; Bacillota; Bacilli; Caryophanales; Anoxybacillaceae. The record is from RNAcentral.
GGAUCAGCAUGCCGCGGUGAAUACGUUCCCGGGCCUUGUACACACCGCCCGUCACACCACGAGAGUUUGUAACACCCGAAGUCGGUGGGGUAACCAGGCCAUUCACUGAGUAUCUGAAUAUUAUAAUCGGAAACUCAGUGAAUGGCCCGGGGCCAGCCGCCUAAGGUGGGACAGAUGAUUGGGGUGAAGUCGUAACAAGGUAGCCGUAUCGGAAGGUGCGGCUGGAUCACCUCCUUU